RNAcentral lists this transfer RNA (74 nucleotides) under Planctomycetota bacterium. RNAcentral's name for it is "Planctomycetes bacterium (wastewater metagenome) tRNA-Arg". It matches the Rfam family "tRNA". From Rfam's summary of the family: Transfer RNA (tRNA) molecules are approximately 80 nucleotides in length. Lineage: Bacteria; Pseudomonadati; Planctomycetota. The record is from RNAcentral.
GUGUCUAUAGCUCAGAUGGAUAGAGCGUUAGCCUCCGGAGCUAAAGGUCUUGGGUUCGACUCCCAAUAGACACG